Molecule: long non-coding RNA, 721 nt
Filed under: Bos taurus (domestic cattle)
Lineage: Eukaryota; Metazoa; Chordata; Mammalia; Artiodactyla; Bovidae
Description: long non-coding RNA NONBTAT017105
Source: RNAcentral
CUUCAGUCCUUGCCAGUACUCAUUAAUUAAAUUCUGACUUUUCUGAAAACAGGGUACAUAAAGUCUUCUUGAUGUUGUAUAUUUUGCCUUAUUGUACUUCUGUAACAAUAGCAACUUUAAAUGAUGUUUAGGUCUUAUUGUAAUUCAGUCUUAAACCUGUUUGCUUUUUAUAAGCAGAAAUGACACAUAUACAAAUGAUCUGAAGAUCUCUGUUCUCCUGGGUAUUAAUUUUGGGGGGAGGUAUAGAAAACAUGCUUAGUAUAGAAUCUUCAUUCCUGGGUCACUGCUUUUAUCAGUAUCUGUUAGUGUAGGUAUUUUCUUGCACUGAAUUUAUUCAAUUUGUUUUUGUAUCUUCCUCUAGCAGAGUUCAUAGGUUUAUCUAGGUAUUAUAAAUUGUCAGUAAAUUACUCAGAUAUUUAGAAAGAAACAACUUUUAAUAACUUGGUGUUUAGUAUUCUUUAUAUUUAAAAAAUCUGAUAGUUGCUGUUAAUUUAGAUACAUUUGAACUGAAUGUGCCAUCUUUGGGAAGCUUUGAGAGAAGAUGUUGAAUCCUUGCUUUACAGUGUGGUGCAGUUUGUGAGUUUGCUAUCUGUCAGGAAGCACAUCUGUUAGAAAGUUGAUCUAAAGAAGGCCCUGCAAAUCUGAGUUGCUCAAUAGCGGAAUGUACAUCUUGCUGUGUUGGGAUUUUUGCCUGCUAUACUGGUCUGUAUUGUAAUAAGCG